UAGUGGCGCACGGGUGAGGACGCGUGGAUAAUCUGCCUUAGAGUGGGGGAUAACUAGUCGAAAGAUUAGCUAAUACCGCAUAAGACCACAGGAGCUGCGGCUCUAGGGGUCAAAGGUUUUUCGCUCUAAGAUGAGUCCGCGUAAGAUUAGCUAGUUGGUGAGGUAACGGCUCACCAAGGCGACGAUCUUUAACUGGUCUGAGAGGAUGAUCAGUCACACUGGAACUGAGACACGGUCCAGACUCCUACGGGAGGCAGCAGUAGGGAAUAUUGCACAAUGGAGGAAACUCUGAUGCAGCGACGCCGCGUGAGUGAUGAAGGCCUUCGGGUCGUAAAGCUCUGUCGCAGGGGAAUAACACAAUGAAUGUACCCUGUAAGAAAGGAUCGGCUAACUUCGUGCCAGCAGCCGCGGUAAGACGAGGGAUCCUAGCGUUGUUCGGAAUUAUUGGGCGUAAAGCGGAUGUAGGUGGCUUUGUAAGUCAGAUGUGAAAGCCCAGGGCUCAACCCUGGAAGUGCAUUUGAUACUGCGAAGCUUGAGUGUCGGAGAGGUUACUAGAAUUGUUGGUGUAGUGGUGAAAUACGUAGAUAUCAACAGGAAUACCGGAGGCGAAGGCGGGUAACUGGCCGAACACUGACACUGAGAUCCGAAAGCGUGGGGAUCAAACAGGAUUAGAUACCCUGGUAGUCCACGCCGUAAACGAUGGAUACUUGUUGUUGGAGGUAUUGACCCCUUCAGUGACGAAGCUAACGCGUUAAGUAUCCCGCCUGGGGAGUACGGUCGCAAGAUUAAAACUCAAAGAAAUUGACGGGGGCCCGCACAAGCGGUGGAGCAUGUGGUUAAUCGA
This 844-nucleotide ribosomal RNA is filed under the name Bdellovibrio bacteriovorus. Its description in RNAcentral is "bacterial SSU rRNA". It matches the Rfam family "Bacterial small subunit ribosomal RNA", at positions 93 to 954 of the family's 1533-position model. Lineage: Bacteria; Pseudomonadati; Bdellovibrionota; Bdellovibrionia; Bdellovibrionales; Pseudobdellovibrionaceae. The record is from RNAcentral.